UGGGAAUUUUAUUUGGCGACCAUUUAAAUCUAGAUUAAGUCACAACACUAAAAUUAUCUUUACACAGUCAAUACAUCAGCACAUAUUUAUUAAAUUCUUAACUUGUGCCAAACAAGCAAAGUAUGGGGUAUUUACUAAAAAAAGGCAAAAGCAAUAGCUGACCUCAAGAAACAAACAAUCUAAUGUGGAAGAUGACAUAUGAACAACUAGCUACAAACAAGACAUAAAUAAAAUAAAUCAGAGAUUCAUUAAUUGAUUUCCUAAUAUAAGGAAGAAAAAUAUUGACGACCUCUUCCCUAAACCUAUGUAAAUACCCAGAAAAAUCUCAAUUUCUUAACUAUGUUAUAAUUUUUUAUCCUAACAAUGUUUGUUUUAUGUUUGGCAAGUUUUCUAUGUCAUGUGUCUAUAACUACAAGUUUUCAUAGAGUUCUAGAAAGGAAGAUUAAUAUCAAUGUAACUUUUUUUUCUGGUCUAACAGUACAAAAUUCUUAAUAAAUAUCUGUGGUGAUGGCAAUAAUGAUAGGAAAACCAUAGUCUUCUCAAUAGAAAAGUGAUUUGCCUAUUUAGAAGUUCACUUCAAAUCCAUCCUCUGCCCUUAUUAUUAUUAACUCUGGCAAGACAUUCUGCCUCAAAAUAUGACAGCACUACCUAACAGUAACUGAAACCCCCAAAAUGAUUAACUGCAAAAAAAAAAAAUGUUUAAAAUAUCACUAUAUGAGCUUCAUCUAAAUUACUGGCCUUUAGGAUGAAGGAGUUUUAAAACAGAUAUUACAUCCAUCUUUUAUUAUCUUCUAUUCUCAGUCAUGGCCAAUUCUUUGUUUUCCCUCAAAAUUCACCCUUCAUUCAAUCAUUUGUCAAGUCCUAUAGAUUCUGUGUCCUCAACAUUUUUCACAUUCAAUUUUUCCUCUCCCUUUCUACAAUCACCACCCUAUCUCAGGUUCUAAUAAUUUUUACCAUGACAAAUCUUUUGUUAUUAUUGUUCAUGCCUUUCAGUCAUGUACAACUCUCCAUGACUCCUUUUUCUUAUUAAAAAUACUAGAAUUCGUUGCCAUUUCUUUGUCCAGCACAUUUAACAGAUGAGGAAACUAAGGCAAACAGGGUUAAGUGACUUACCCAAAUUCACACAGUUGCUGAUUGUCUGAAGCCAGAUUUGAACUCAGAAAGAUGAGUCUUCCUGACUCCAGGUCCAGCUUUCUAUUCACUGAACCACCUAGAUGUCCCUAUUGCCAACUCUAAUAUUUUCUUAAUUUAUCUUAAUUCAUAUCUCUUUUCUUCGAUCCAUUUUUCUCACAGUUCAAACUUUGAUUUAAAUAGCAUAGACUUUUUUUUAAGAUAUUGCUCCCUCAAGGUACCAAUAUUCAAGGCAAAUUGAUCCAUUUAAUGUUCCCUAUAGAUGAUAAUUCAUUUUCUGGCUCCAGGCUUUUGCACAAGUUAUCCUACAUGAUUUAAAUAUUUUUCUCACUUCUGUUUCUUGAAAUUUCAAGAUAUAUCAAGUGCAAUCUUCUUCAUAAAAAUAAUAGAUAAAAUUUAUGUAGUGUUUACUAUGUACUAAAUACAUUACAAUUAUUACCUCAUUUUAUGCUCACAAUAAUCCUGGAAGGUAGGUAAACCAGGUGUGAUGAACCCUUACAAGGGAAGAUUCUUCUAACUUCAGAAAAGUCCUGUCCCCACCAUCAUGUGUCCCAAAUAGACAUUUCAGGAGAUAGAAAAAAUAUUUAUUUGAAAAGAUCAGAGACACCUAGGUGACUAUAAAGCUAAAUAGUAUACUUCUUGGACAGAGUAAAUACAUACUGAAUCAACUGGGAAUUCUAGAAUCAAACUAACAAAAGAAACUAAAUGCAGGUUUGGGGAAAGGGAAGAUAAAGGAGAUCAUACAAGGUCAGUUCAUAAUUUCUAGCCCCAAACUGGGAAGAACACAAAGUAAACUCCCUAGAGCAGCAGGUCUCAAUUUUUUUGAUCUUAGGAAUGCACCCUUAAAAAAAUAUAAGGAAGAAGGGCAGAGUCAAGAUGGCUGUUUAGACGCAGCAAAAGACCAGACUUCUCUCAAAACCCUUCCACACCAAUCAAAAACAAAGUGCUUCAAGGGGACAGAAAACCAAAUCUAACCACAGGACAGAGCUGGGGGAACCUCCUGCUGGAUUCAACUUAAAAGGGAAGCAGCUGGAGGAGAAGCUCAGAGAGGGCAGCCUAGUCUCAGUCAAAACAGUCCAUUUUCCCCCCUCCUCUUGAGGUUUUGGUUUUAAAGCACAUCCAGCAUUGCAGAUCAACUCCACCCUGGCUUAAUCUUAUCAAAAGGACAGAUAAGAAGCCUUCAGAGGCCAGAGAAGCUCAAUUUCCAAUACCCCUUCCCCACUGACUCCACUGAAAGCCUUGCUGACCAAGCUCCAAGGGUGAAGACUGCAAUCACUACAGAAUCUCUUGAUAAUAGGGUGGGAAGCCCAGCUUUCAGCUUCUGUUGCCAACUGGGGAAGUUAAUACCAUCAAGCCUAACCUAGUCAGUCAAUCAGCAGUACAGAAAAGAAGUCCAUUCAAGAGAGAACAGCCCAAAUCUACAGAUCCAGCAAAUAAUCAGAGGAGCAAGAUUAACAGUCAAUAACAAGGGGGAAAGAAGGAAAAAAAUAUAAGCAAACAACAGAAAAAGAGAAAAGAAAUUACAAUCGACAGAGCAAAUGGAACAGAGGAGGACCAAGGAACACCAAGCAAAAAUGUAGGAACUCCAGAAAAUUGGACACAGGCUUUGGAAAACUCAAAACGCAAUUCAAAAAAACAAUUAAGAGAGGCUAAAGGCAAUCUGGAAAUGAACUUAUAAAGCAAAAUAUGUCAUCUGGAAACAGAGGCAUAUGAACUAAAAUCAGAAAACAGUGUCUUGAAAGCCAGAAUUGACCAAGGUAAAGAAAGUGAAGGAUGACCUACAAAGAAAAACAGACCAAAAGGAAAAGAAUGACCCAAAAAACCAGAGAUGAAAUUCAGUCUUUAAAAAUUAGAAUCCAACAACUAGAAGAAAAUGACUUCACAAGGAAACAAGGAUCUAUAAAACAAAAUCAAAAGAAUGAAAAAAUUGAGGAAAAUAUGAAAUAUCUCAUUGAUUGAAAAAAGUUCCAGAAGAGACAAUUUAAGAAUUAUUGGACUACCAGAAAAUCAUGACAAAAGAAAAAGCCUAGACAUCAUUCUACAAGAAAACUCUCCUGACAUUAUUGAACAAGAGGGUAAAGUGCAGAUUGAAAGAAUCCACAGAUCACCUCCCACAUUAAAUCCUCAAUUGACAAUGCUUGGGAAUGUUAAAUCCAAGUUAAAGAACUACCAGACCAAGAAAAAGAUACGUACAAGCUGCUAAAAAGAGACUAUUCAGAUAUUAUGGAGCCACAGUCAUAAUUACACAUGACCUGGCUGCACCCACACUAAAGGACUGGCAGGCAUGGAAUAUGAUAUUCCAGAAAGCAAAAAAACUGGGUCUACAACCAAGAAACAAAUACCAAGAAAAACUGACUAUAUUCUUGCAAGGAAAAUAUGGUCAUAUAAUAAAAUAGAAGAUUCCCAAGCAUUCCUGAAGAAAAGACCAGACUUAAACAGAAAAUUUGAUAUCCCAAUACAGAACUCAAGAGAAUCACCAAAAGGUAAUUAAUAAAGAGGAAAAAAUGUUAUAAAAUCAA
Molecule: long non-coding RNA, 3650 nt
Organism: Monodelphis domestica (gray short-tailed opossum)
Lineage: Eukaryota; Metazoa; Chordata; Mammalia; Didelphimorphia; Didelphidae
Source: RefSeq, a predicted model, not a curated record